AGUGAACGCUGGCGGUAGGCCUAACACAUGCAAGUCGAACGGCAGCACAGUAAGAGCUUGCUCUUACGGGUGGCGAGUGGCGGACGGGUGAGGAAUACAUCGGAAUCUACUUUUUCGUGGGGGAUAACGUAGGGAAACUUACGCUAGUACCGCAUACGACCUACGGGUGAAAGCAGGGGAUCUUCGGACCUUGCGCGAUUGAAUGAGCCGAUGUCGGAUUAGCUAGUUGGCGGGGUAAAGGCCCACCAAGGCGACGAUCCGUAGCUGGUCUGAGAGGAUGAUCAGCCACACUGGAACUGAGACACGGUCCGGACUCCUACGGGAGGCAGCAGUGGGGAAUAUUGGACAAUGGGCGCAAGCCUGAUCCAGCCAUACCGCGUGGGUGAAGAAGGCCUUCGGGUUGUAAAGCCCUUUUGUUGGGAAAGAAAAGCAGCAGGUUAAUACCCCGCUGUUCUGACGGUACCCAAAGAAUAAGCACCGGCUAACUUCGUG
RNAcentral lists this ribosomal RNA (492 nucleotides) under uncultured bacterium. RNAcentral describes it as "partial 16S ribosomal RNA". It matches the Rfam family "Bacterial small subunit ribosomal RNA", at positions 29 to 507 of the family's 1533-position model. The record is from RNAcentral.